This 380-nucleotide ribosomal RNA is filed under the name uncultured cyanobacterium. RNAcentral's name for it is "bacterial SSU rRNA". It matches the Rfam family "Bacterial small subunit ribosomal RNA", at positions 376 to 770 of the family's 1533-position model. Lineage: Bacteria; Bacillati; Cyanobacteriota. The record is from RNAcentral.
CGAAAGCCUGACGGAGCAAUACCGCGUGGGGGAGGAAGGCUCUUGGGUUGUAAACCUCUUUUCUCAGGGAAGAAAAAAAUGACAGUACCUGAGGAAUAAGCAUCGGCUAACUCCGUGCCAGCAGCCGCGGUAAUACGGAGGAUGCAAGCGUUAUCCGGAAUGAUUGGGCGUAAAGCGUCCGCAGGUGGCUGUGUAAGUCUGCUGUUAAAGAAUGAGGCUCAACCUCAUCAAAGCAGUGGAAACUACAUAGCUAGAGUGCGUUCGGGGUAGAGGGAAUUCCUGGUGUAGCGGUGAAAUGCGUAGAUAUCAGGAAGAACACCGGUGGCGAAAGCGCUCUACUAGGCCGCAACUGACACUGAGGGACGAAAGCUAGGGGAGCG